This 207-nucleotide unclassified non-coding RNA is filed under the name Hevea brasiliensis (rubber tree). Lineage: Eukaryota; Viridiplantae; Streptophyta; Magnoliopsida; Malpighiales; Euphorbiaceae. The record is from RNAcentral.
CCCUCCUACAAUCAUCAGCUGCCACAGCUUGAGCACAAUUAAUCAAAAGGGUUCUCAAAUCCACCACAUUCUUUUUCCCAUUGAGUUUCUUGCGUUGACCCUUUCUGCCACUGGAUCCCUUUGAUUGCACAUUCUGAUUCUGGUCAUUUUUUAUUGCUGCAUUCUUGAAUGCCUCACAAAGAUCCUUGAGAUCUUCCCAGCCUUCCC